AUGUCUCCGCAGAGCUGCGCCGUUGUCUGCCUCACCCUGAUGCUGGCGGGGAGAAACCUGGGCUUCCUCGUGGAAAUCCCGCAGGAUGCAGUCAGUGGCACCGUGGGGCAGUCCGUGCUCCUGCCCGUCUCCUACACAUUCAACAGCUCCCCUCGCUUCCCAGUGGCAAUUAAGUGGACGUUUGGUCACCCCUCACAAGUAAUCAUCAUCGGCACAUUGCUGGACUGCUCCCUGGGUGCUGGGGGCGCUCCCAAGAACUGUACCGCAAAGUGUUUCCCCAGUGCUUCACGUUCACGCCGUGUUGAGCUCUUCCCCGAGAACGCAUCCCUGCUGCUGCAGGACCUGAAGCUCAGUGACAGCGGGGUGUACAACGUCAGCUUUGCACAGCAACAACAAAGCAGGCACAUCACCCUGACCGUGCUCCAGCAGCCUGUCCCCACAGGCCCUUCCAGCGAAGGCACCAGCAAUCAAGACCACACCCAUAACUACAUAAUUGGAGCUUGCUCAUUAAUCUUCCUCCUUCUGCUGUUCCUGGUCUUCUGCGUUUGGCGCUUGGUGCAGCAGAAGAAGAGGAGAAUCGUUAAACAACAGCAGGCCCUGAACACACAGGAGCCCCACGUGGACAACACUGCGGCGAGGGAAGUAAUGACCAUUUAUUCCAGAGUCGGAGACAGCUUUGAACAUCCAGAGCUGAGAGCAUCACCACAGGUCAUCUACUCAUCCAUAACCUCCCUCGAUUCCUGA
This 744-nucleotide long non-coding RNA is filed under the name Anser brachyrhynchus (Pink-footed goose). RNAcentral describes it as "lncRNA (ENSABRG00000019210.1)". The record is from RNAcentral. Lineage: Eukaryota; Metazoa; Chordata; Aves; Anseriformes; Anatidae.